This is a long non-coding RNA of Paramacrobiotus metropolitanus, 1150 nucleotides long. RefSeq lists it as uncharacterized. The record is from RefSeq and is a predicted model, not a curated record. The transcript is spliced from 3 exons. NCBI's taxonomy places the organism in Eukaryota, Metazoa, Tardigrada, Eutardigrada, Parachela, Macrobiotidae.
UGGCUUUCCUUUUCCGGGGGAGCAGUACGACAAAUGAUAGAAAGAUAAAUAGGUUGAGAUGCGGAUUUCACAAUUUCCUUCAGGGCCCAUCCAGCGAUGAUCAUUCCAGGACAAAUUGUUGUUUAUGAAGAUGGAAAUAUGAAUCCAUUAGUGAAGGCGAUGCUGUCUCUGGAGCGGAUCCUAUUGCGGUGCAGUCACCGUCACCGACUUCCUUUUCGCCACAGGAAACUAGGUUUCGCCCGGACAGAAAUAGGGACUGUACUGGAAAUAGUGCAUGUAAAUGUUUUCCUCCACUGAACUGACUUGUUGGACUAGAAGUACUCCAAAUGUUCCUACAUCACAAUCAUGAAUUAUACCCAUAGUCUACGCAUCCCAUUGCAGAACGCAGCGCACACUCGGCUGCCAAUCGGUUUAUCGCACACACACGAGCGUCGUAUGCAGUGUCUCGAUGCAGCCAUCCUCCGAUUGGUGCAUCCACUUCUUCGUCCUUCAAGUGAAAUGUGCAAUCAAGUGUUCUUUUGCAAGUCGCUGCAUCAAAAUACUUAAUGGCUCAUCUGCUGAAAUUUAUCUGUGUGAUCCAAACGAUUUUAUUCCCUCCAUCCAGGCACAAUUACAGCAUCUGUAAAUCAGACCGUAUGAGUUAUCGCAAAUCACUUCAUCAUCGAAGUCGGAAGCGAAUCUUUUAGUGAUUCUGAGCUGGAAGGAGCGCUUUUCUGUGUGUCGUAGGAACACACUUCCGCCCUUUUUCACUGCCUGGGUUGUCCCCCGCGGUGCAAUCACCGUCACUAGCACGCGGCACAACGGGAACCACUCACGGAUUGGCUUUGGGAGUCAAAAUCAGAGUCAAACCGAUAGACGCGGCGGGAAGAGAAUAGGACAAAUCAGCGCUCGUAUAAUAUGUAAUAUGAACUUGAUGACUGCGAUGAAUAAAAGGACAGUACUGAUUUAUGAGCACGAUGAAGGGGAAGAAACAGGAAACGAGAAGAUGACCAGGAAAUGUCGCUAGUCAAUCUCUGCGCAGUGGAAACACAACCACGGCCACGCACUAUGCCAUGAAUAUUAAUACAACAUCUAAUCAACGUAGAUGGUGGUGAUGGUUAAGCGUUUGUGACGAUUUGAUUGCAUUCGGGACAACAACUGAUUUCUUUUG